Molecule: ribosomal RNA, 482 nt
Filed under: uncultured bacterium
Lineage: Bacteria
Description: partial 16S ribosomal RNA
Rfam family: Bacterial small subunit ribosomal RNA
Source: RNAcentral
GAUGAACGCUAGCGGCAGGCCUAAUACAUGCAAGUCGAACGAGAUUACGAGGCUUGCUUCUUAUGAAAGUGGCGCACGGGUGCGUAACGCGUAUGCAACCUACCUUAAUCAGGGGGAUAGCCCGAAGAAAUUCGGAUUAAGACCGCAUAAAAACACAGGAUAGCAUUAUCCAAUGUUCAAAUAUUUAUAGGAUUAAGAUGGGCAUGCGUGUCAAUAGCUAGUUGGCGGGGUAACGGCCCACCAAGGCGACGAUGACUAGGGGAUCUGAGAGGAUGACCCCCCACACUGGUACUGAGACACGGACCAGACUCCUACGGGAGGCAGCAGUAAGGAAUAUUGGUCAAUGGAGGGAACUCUGAACCAGCCAUGCCGCGUGCAGGAAGACAGCCCUCUGGGUCGUAAACUGCUUUUAUUCGGGAAUAAACCUUUCUACGUGUAGGAAGCUGAAUGUACCGAAGGAAUAAGGAUCGGCUAACUCCGUG